RNAcentral lists this ribosomal RNA (2295 nucleotides) under Triticum aestivum (bread wheat). RNAcentral describes it as "partial small subunit ribosomal RNA". Lineage: Eukaryota; Viridiplantae; Streptophyta; Magnoliopsida; Poales; Poaceae. The record is from RNAcentral.
AUGGGGGUGGGAUACCUGACAAUCCAGGAAUGCAACUCUGAUGAAUCGGAGAUCUUCUCUAAGCACUUCACUGGGGCGAUGUUCCGAGUCAAUGCCCUCCUUGUGGUGAACGCCAUCCUGAUGGGAGUCAUGGUUUUCAUAGGCGCAUACGGUCGCUAUCGCAGCCAUCCAUUGACCCGUUACAUUUUCUUGGGUGCCACUGCAUUGUUCAUUCCCAUAAUCUCCUAUGUCCUAUCUGACAUUGAUAAUCGGAAUGGCCUUAUCCUUUUUGCCGCUGGAGAAAAGAUAAUAAGCCGCCUGUGUAGUGCAAGUACCCACAAGAAUCUAGUCUUAAUAUGGACUGGUCUUGUUCAAAUGGUUGGUAUCAGCACCAGUUUGGUAGUGGUCAGUGAUUCUAGAGAGGGGCGAAACAUUGGCCCAUCUGGGGUACUACUUGUGCAGGCAAUGUGGACUUCCUACCUUAUGGUUUAUAACAUAGGGUUGAAGUAUCAAGUAUCAUACACCGACCUGCAUACUGUUGGUAUCCUCAACAUCAACGUCGAGUGGUCUCUGGUAUAUGCAUUUUCUCUAGAAGGAUUGAUGGUUAUCCCACCAUUUGCUCUCACCUUUGCAAAGCUACUUUUCAAGUGUUCUGCAUGGUACAAGGCCAGAAAAUCAUUAGCAAUUGGAUGCAAUCCUCGUCUUAUUGUUGGAUACAUGGAGCAGCUACACGAUGCCAACAUGACAAAUGAUUAUCAGGAUAUACCUCCUCCACUAAUAGUAAUGGAUGAAGACACAACAUCUGUGGAUAAGCAGCCUCAUGGUUAUAGCUUCGCACUGAUGCCCAAUAGAGGCGGCUUAGUGACCCUUGACAAAGUUUGGCAGCUGGAUGACAUGCACGAUCUCAAGUUAACAUCACAUCUCAAAGAUGUAUGCCUUUCCUUCGCACUGUCCAAGCUUUUAAGGUGUCGGUUCGCCAGGUACACAAAUGCUGAGAUUGGCUUCACCAAAGCUUCUAGCUUUUUAAGGCAUAUGUUACUCGAAGAUAGCGAUGAUGAGAGAGUACUUCGACUGAUUGAUUAUGAGCUUUCUUUUCUUCAUGAUAUUUAUUAUUCAUCCCUGGCAAUCUCAUAUUCGAAGAGCUGGAUGCCCAUACUGAGCAUAUUGAUUUCACUCUCAGGCAUUGGUUCUUGCUUUGUUUUAGUAUAUCUUCAGUUUGCUUAUGGGGAUUACUCAUCAAAGUUGAUAGAUUGCAUGUAUGCAUGCCUUUCUCGGAAUGGAGAACGUGUCGUAGAUGGUCAGAGCUUUGGAAAUGCAAUAUUUGACCUUGUACCAGUAGUUGUACUUAUUGCACUGGUUGUGCUUGCUGAGGCAAGAGAGAUUACUUCUUACAUUUGCUCUAACUGGACAAAAGUGGCCCUAAUCUGCCGCUACAUAAACCAUGCUUCUUGGCAGCAAUCUCCUACCAUGCAGAAAUGGAUCAGGCGUGUGCUGCAGUGUAGAUGCAAGGUAUUGAAGCAUUUGGAGGACAAAAUGGACCAAUGUUCAAUACUGGUGCUCCACCCAAGGAAGACUCCAAUGGGCCUGCUUCGUCGUCUUAAAGCUGGUCAGAAGGUCAAGGUGCCAAGAGAGUUGAAGGCUGCUAUCAUGAAUGCACUGAGAAAUUAUGAGAGAAGCCGAGACAAUUACCGCAUGCCAUCUCUGUGCCCGAGGCCGCAGUUGAAGACCGGCGACAACCUCCUUUGGGUGGUUGAUGGCACAAAAGGUAUUGCCAAUACCAUUCUUGUGUGCCACAUCGCCACAACCAUUCUUGAACUCAGGUCAGCUGGCUCAUGUCAACCUCUCUCUGACCAUAAGACCGCUGCCAUCCACCUGUCCCGGUACUGCGCCUACCUGGUGGCCUACUCUCCUGAGCUGCUUCCAGAGGAUGACGAGUGGUGCAAGAGCUUGUAUAAGACAGUCAAGAAGAAGGCUGAGCACAUCCUUGCCGGAGUGUCAACAGCUGAAGUGGAGUAUCAGCAGUUGGUGAGGCUGAUGAGCGCCUCACAGAAUCAUCAAGUGCUCAAGGAUGGUGCCAAGCUCGGACAACAGUUGGCGGAGCUGAACCAAGGAGAGGCCAACACGGCGUGGGAGCUCCUCGCCGGCUUUUGGUCGGAGAUGAUGCUGUACAUUGCUCCAUCAGACAACAUUGACGGUCACUUGGAGGCCAUCGCCCGCGGCGGCGAGCUCAUAACGCUCCUAUGGGCAUUGCUUGCACACCUGGGGAUUUUCAGUAGAGCCGGCGACCCGACCAGCACAACCGGUGAAAGUGUGUAG